UAAAACCUUUUGCUGAAUCCAAAUUUUGGAACGGGGGAACCAUUUAUGUAGUUUAGGCUACUUGGGGCGAAUCUUUAUGAAGUAGGGAACUCUCACUUCCCGAGUCCGACAGCUAACCUCGUAAGCGUAAUGGGAGAGGGAAG
This 143-nucleotide small RNA is filed under the name Bacillus cereus. RNAcentral's name for it is "c-di-AMP sequence". It matches the Rfam family "c-di-AMP riboswitch aptamer (ydaO/yuaA leader)". Rfam says of the family: This family represents a conserved RNA structure found upstream of the ydaO and yuaA genes in Bacillus subtilis and related genes in other bacteria. Lineage: Bacteria; Bacillati; Bacillota; Bacilli; Caryophanales; Bacillaceae. The record is from RNAcentral.